AAAAAUAUUUGGUCUCGUGCCAAAUUUACACCUGUGUGCACCAUUGUCUGUAUUUGGUAGCUCGAGCGCGCUCCGGAAGCUCAACACUUCCAUUAGGGGCGCCUACCCUUGCGGGUCACAUCCCGCUUGGGUUGGGCUACCGCCUUUUUUUUGAAAAACCUUUUUUGUUUUGUCUUCUUGUCUGAACGAAGAGUUGAUCUUAAUUGAUUAAUGAUUUGAAAA
Molecule: unclassified non-coding RNA, 222 nt
Filed under: soil metagenome
Description: partial internal transcribed spacer 1
Source: RNAcentral